AGUCAGCCUGUGCGCACAUGCAAAUCAACACAUAACACAGGCAAUUUGCCACAGAUGUCGAAAUGUCGCACACGUUGACAGGAUUCUUAUCAAAGUACGCAGAGCAAUUCUAUGUCGCAUUUAAUUAAAAUCUCCAUUAAAGUACGCCAAACGAGCUGAACGACAAGCGAAUGAGUGGACACAAGUGCACUGACUAACUAACUGAGUGGCUGACUGACUGGUCGUAUAUUUGGGUGACUGUUACGAGGCUUACGAGGGCCCCAAAUUUACCGCCUUUCCUACCACUCUACUGCUGACGGUUCGUUGUGAGGCAACUAACCGGUCGACUGCAUGGUCGUUUAAGCGAAUUUAAAUCAGCCGUUUGGAACCCCCACUGUGACAAGCAACGGGUAUUUAAAUUAAAAGCUGUGGUCAAAUGCCUACGCAAAAAAAUUGCUUCCAAAACUAACUAUGUAUUAUACAAAAAUAGCAGCAAACGCAUGUGCAUAUGUGUCGGUUUGUUUUAUGAAAAAAAAAGUUAAAAAGUUUCCUAAAAAUAUGCGCGUGAAAUUAGCGCUACAACAAGAGCGGAACUGCAAAUUUAAUUAUUAACUGGGAUUUUUUCGCUGGAAGGAGCUUCAGGUAAAAUUGUUAAUAUUUUUCCAAAAACGAAUACCCUUAGUGUUGAAAUACUUUUUGGAGUUUCCUUUGGUUAUUAAAAGCAUAUCUCAUAAAAACAACGGAAAGUUAGGAGAUUUCGAUUACUGGUGAGGCAUAUAACGAUUUCAUCGAGACGGCUAAUGCUAGUUUCGGUUCUGCCUACUCGUUCGCUAAGGUAGGACCACCAAGAUGUUUCAGUUUCAGUCUUGCAAAGGCUGGACGGUGGAGAAGAAAGUUUCUGGAUGUUCCCACCUCACCGUUCGUCAUAAAACUUUGACAAGAUUUUUGGUCUUACAGUAUGAAUGCCUACUGGACGGUGUGCAGUAAGAAUUACACAAGACUAUAAUCUACUGUAAGACCAAAAACAGUUAAAUUCAAUAUAACCCAGACUAGAUGGUUCUAUGGAAGCUUAGAGCCGUCGGCAAUACCCAACUCAAUGUCGACACCUUUCUAAAUACAUAUAACAUAUGUAUAUUCUAUAUAAAGAACAAUGUAAUAACUGGAAGCGGAGAGAGAGCAGAGAGCUUUGUAUAUGAAAUCGUUUCCAAGGUCCCCUAAAAACCGUACGGAAGCAUGUUUUUAUCGGUCAAAGCCUCUAAACUCAGGCAAAAGUCGCUAACCUCGGCAAAGUUCCCCUUAAAAUAACACACUUUACAACAAUAGCAACAACUGGAUAGAAGUUAGUUUUGCACCUAGGUUUUAACCGUACAUCAUUCUCGGCAAUAUCUUCCCCUAUUUCAUUGCCCUCGAUGUCUUUGUGGACUGACACCCAGUAGAAGUGAACUUUCUUGCUUCUGGUAAUACUUUCCACUGCCGCCCUAAUUCCCAAGACACUUCUGGCCGACUUUUCAUAUUAAAUACCAAUAUAUGAAAUGCAGUCUCUGCUGUUCUGCCCUUCGUAUAAGCGAGCUGCGUCUUGGACAAGCUUCUAAGAAGUACUGCAGCCCUAAUGUGUGGGCCCAAGAUUUUCUCUAGUGCUUUCAGCAGGAAGUUAAGCUUAUAGGCCUAAACAUUUUUCAAAUGGAAAAUUAUUGACUAUUAGUUAGAGACUCAGCUGGAAUACUUAUAGCCAUCAAUAUCUAGCAUAGCUUAAGUCCUGGUCCCAAACUUACUUUACGAUCGAGACCUAAACAAUACACAUACAGAUUAUUAUUAUUAUUUUUUUUGUUAGUUAGAAACAGCAAAUCUAACACGUGCUCUUUAUCUAGAUUAUAACACAAAAGAAACGAUAACAGAAAACAGUUUCGGCUCUGUUUCUACUAGGUUUACUUAGCUGCUGCCUUUAUACAACAACAAAAACGAAAAGAUAUAUAACUUUUACACAUUUUUUCUUGUUAUUUUCAAGUUUUUUAAGCAUAUUGUUGAAUAUACUUUAAUCUCAGAUAAUUCAACUAAACCGACAGUUAAGGCAUACCAUUUUUUU
This is a long non-coding RNA of Bactrocera dorsalis (oriental fruit fly), 2062 nucleotides long. RefSeq lists it as uncharacterized. Lineage: Eukaryota; Metazoa; Arthropoda; Insecta; Diptera; Tephritidae. The transcript has 2 exons. The record is from RefSeq and is a predicted model, not a curated record.